Molecule: ribosomal RNA, 492 nt
Filed under: uncultured bacterium
Lineage: Bacteria
Description: partial 16S ribosomal RNA
Rfam family: Bacterial small subunit ribosomal RNA
Source: RNAcentral
AGUGAACGCUGGCGGUAGGCCUAACACAUGCAAGUCGAACGGCAGCACAGUAAGAGCUUGCUCUUACGGGUGGCGAGUGGCGGACGGGUGAGGUAUACACCGGAAUCUACCUUUUCGUGGGGGAUAAUGUAGGGAAACUUACGCUAAUACCGCAUACGACCUACGGGUGAAAGCAGGGGAUCUUCGGACCUGGUGCGAUUGAAUGAGCCGAUGUCGGAUUAGCUAGUUGGCGGGGUAAAGGCCCACCAAGGCGACGAUCCGUAGCUGGUCUGAGAGGAAGAUUCGCUACCUGGGAAGUGAGAAUGGUCCGCGACUCCGGCGGUGGGACACAGCGCAGAAUAUUAGACAAUGGGGGCGAGGCGGAUCCAAGCCUACCGCGUCGGUGAAGAAGGAGUUCGGGUUGUAGAGUCCUUUUGUUGGGAGGGAAGAGCAGCAGGUUCAUACCCCGCUGUUCUGACGGUACCCGCAGAAUAAGCACCGGCUAACUUCGUG